RNAcentral lists this long non-coding RNA (255 nucleotides) under Lathyrus oleraceus (garden pea). Its description in RNAcentral is "Pisum sativum (pea) long non-coding RNA (PSAT_LNC007135)". Lineage: Eukaryota; Viridiplantae; Streptophyta; Magnoliopsida; Fabales; Fabaceae. The record is from RNAcentral.
GACUCUGAAAAGGAAGAUUCUGAAGAUGAGGAAGAAUUAUCCCUUCUAACCAUAAGAGUAAAACAACUCUAGAGAAAAAGGAAUAAUAACUUCAGAAAACCAAGAUCCAAAGGAGAUCGAUCAGAAUCAACCUCAAAAGGUAAAUCUAACAAAGAUGUUACGUGUUAUGAAUGUAAAGAAACAGGUCACUACAGAAACGAAUGUCCCAAGUUGAAGAAAGACAGUUCCAGAAAAGAGAACUUCAAGAAAAAUUCC